CCUCCAGCGCUUCAGAAUCCCCCUCUCCCCUGGAUGAAACACAACUUCCUGUUUUAUUUUGUGAUGUCACUUCCUUUAGCUCUGAAGUGUGUUCCAUUAGCAGCUCUUUUUGGACCAAAGCCUUGGACUGGAGAGAAGUGAGUUUGGAGGCACUGCCUUCAACACCAAGGCAAGACAAGCUGCACUCUGGACCUGUGUGUGAGCCUGUCUGUGUGAGCUGGGAAGAAGAGCAACAGAGACGACGAGACGAGAGAUAGGACUCUGCUGGUUUGGAGGAAAUAUCCAGGACUCACAGAGCGGCUCCACAGUCUGUGCUGCUGCUGCCCCUCCAGGAGUCUGUCUGCACACAGGUGAGGAGGAUCUGCACAAAGACACAUCAGCGAGAGAAAUGGACCCAGCUCAGCCUCUGCAGACUCCCCGCACACAGGGAAAGACACACAGUGUGGAGGAGUGAUCUGAAAGGAAUCAACUACAUCACACAUCGAAACAACACCAGAGAAUCCACACUGGAGAGAAGCCCUUGAGUGGUGACUGUGUGGACAUGUAUUUUGCUCAGUCUGCCACAUCU
Molecule: long non-coding RNA, 568 nt
Filed under: Neogobius melanostomus (round goby)
Lineage: Eukaryota; Metazoa; Chordata; Actinopteri; Gobiiformes; Gobiidae
Description: lncRNA (ENSNMLG00000016468.1)
Source: RNAcentral